RNAcentral lists this long non-coding RNA (1048 nucleotides) under Vulpes vulpes (red fox). RNAcentral's name for it is "lncRNA (ENSVVUG00000025362.1)". Lineage: Eukaryota; Metazoa; Chordata; Mammalia; Carnivora; Canidae. The record is from RNAcentral.
AAAACUACAGACAGCUUUGAAAAGGCAAUUUUUUGACCAUGGUAUCACAAGCUUCAAACUAUGUUGUGGUUAUUACAUAAGACUCUUAAAACGGAUGGUUAAUGCUACAUCUGGACAUAGGCAAUUAACCAAGAUCUCUCUUGGUGAGCUACCCUGUGUAAAAACCAACAAAGUUUUAUGCCUAUUUCUUCCCUUCUGUGGCCCUUAGAUAUCUGCUCUAUUUUUCUUUCAGAGGGCAUGUGAACUUCAAAAUUACCACUGGAAAUGGAUCCACUUGAUCUAAAUGGUUAGAGCUUCUAAUUUGAUAAAAACAAAAACAUAAUCUAUUUGAUAGUUUACUGGUUGUUAAGUACUUUUUUUUUCUUUUUAAGAAACUGAUAUUUAGAACAGAUUUUGUCUUUUAGGCCCCAUGUAUCAUUUUCAUUUAAAAGGAAAACAGUGUGUAUCCUAAACCAAAGUCAGUUAAUCUCUACAAUCUUUCUUCUUCCCAAUUACUAUGAAUGAGCAUCCUCUCAGGACGCAAGUGAUGGUGACUCUUAUUUCUGCCUCCUAAAGACAUGUCUCAGCUUCGCAGAGUUUUUUGGUUUUUUGUUUUUUUUUUCUUUUCUUUUUUGGCUGUACAAUGGAACUUGGAUGCAUUUUAAAUUAACUUUCUCUAGGAAUCAAAGGUAAUCAUUAUUUCUCUUUAUGAUCCACAUGAAUAUUCUCAUUAUUUUUUUCUUUUCAAGUUUAAGAUUAGUUUUGAAUUCCCUUUAUAUCUCUGCCUUCUUUCAGAAUAACCUCCAAGGACGUGAGCUCGCACUUAGAGGAUUGAGGAAAUGUGUCCACAGCCUGUUCUUGCUGAGCUGACCCAAACACUUAGAAGAACACGAUAUGAAUCAGCAGCCUCGCUUUCCGAAAGAAUUUGGAGAUUCCAAUCUGAUCCUUUUCCAUGUGAUCUUUUGUACCCAUUCUAUUUCUGUACCACACAUAAUAAAGUUUGAGUGUCAAGUAAUCCAUCUGUAUCUGAUUUUUGUCUGGAAAGGCUUGAAGGAUUUUCAGAUUGAAA